CACCUGAGGUCGGGAGUUCAAGACCAGC
Molecule: non-coding RNA, 28 nt
Filed under: Homo sapiens (human)
Lineage: Eukaryota; Metazoa; Chordata; Mammalia; Primates; Hominidae
Source: RNAcentral